Molecule: unclassified non-coding RNA, 345 nt
Filed under: soil metagenome
Description: partial contains 5.8S ribosomal RNA, internal transcribed spacer 2, and large subunit ribosomal RNA
Rfam family: 5.8S ribosomal RNA (bases 1-120)
Source: RNAcentral
GAUGAAGAACGCAGCGAAAUGCGAUAAGUAAUGCGAAUUGCAGAAUUCAGUGAGUCAUCGAAUCUUUGAACGCAUAUUGCGCCCUUUGGUAUUCCGAAGGGCAUGCCUGUUCGAGCGUCAUUGCUGCCCUCAAGCACGGCUUGUGUGUUGGGCCUCCGUCCUCCUCCCGGGGGACGGGCCCGAAAGGCAGCGGCGGCACCGCGUCCGGUCCUCGAGCGUAUGGGGCUUCGUCACCCGCUCUUGUAGGCCCGGCCGGCGCUUGCCGACACAUCAAUCUUUUUUCCAGGUUGACCUCGGAUCAGGUAGGGAUACCCGCUGAACUUAAGCAUAUCAAUAAGCGGAGGA